This is a long non-coding RNA of Gasterosteus aculeatus aculeatus (three-spined stickleback), 1131 nucleotides long. The record is from Ensembl. Lineage: Eukaryota; Metazoa; Chordata; Actinopteri; Perciformes; Gasterosteidae.
GUGAGAUUGAGACUUCAUACGGAAACGAAGUGUAUACAUUGUAGAAUAUGAAUGUAAAUAGAAAUAUAUUGCUGUUGAUAUUAUAGUUCUUGAAACAAAUCAUAUUAACUUAAUUGAAUAUCAGAAAAAAACACUCCCAGCAAAAGGAAAUGAAGAACGAGAUUGUUGUUAAACACAACAUGAGGCUUUGUUUUGUAGGAACAUCAUGAUGAAGCUGUUGGUGCUCACGCUGUGCCUGCUGGUCACCACCUUGGCUUCUCCGUUGCGGAGAGUGACAGCAAUGAGGAAAAAGUUGAUGCUGCACCAGUCCAGGCUGCUGGCGUCCCUCCUGCUGCUGCCCAAGCUGUCGGAGACGCAUCGGAGGAGGAGACAGAGGCUGGCAACCCUGCACCCAAAGACGCCGUCCCCCUAAGCUCUGAUGAGGUCGAGGAGGCCGAGGAGGUUGAGGAGGUUGAGGAGGUGGAGGCAGCUGAGGCUGAACCUGCAGCAGCUGUUGAGCUGGCCGUGGUUGACGCCCCAGUGGACGCUGCAGCCGCUGAAGCUACAGUUGUGGACGUGCCUCCUGUUGACGCGGUUCUCGUUGACGCUGUCCCUGCAGCCCCUGAGGUGGCUGUUGAUGCGGCCGCCCCGGCCGCUGCUGACGUCCCUGUUGCUGCUACUGCUGAUGCCGCUGCCGUUGAUGCCGCUGCUGCCGUCCCUGCUGCUGCCGGUAUCGUUGAUGCCGCUGCCGUUGAUGUCGUUGCCGUUGAUGCCACUGAUGCCGGUGUUGUUGAUGCCGUUGAUGCCGGUGCCGCUGAUGCCGCUGCUGCUGAUGCCGCUGCUGCCUCACUGGCAGCUGAGAUUGACACAACUGGAGUGGCAGCAGAUCCUGUUGCAGUGUAGUUCCUUCUUGUCAUCCCCAGCCUCUUUUCCUAGCAGUGGAAACAGCCACUGUGUGUGUGUGUGUGUGUGUGUGUGCAGUGCAAAAGUAAGCUGUGUCACAUUGAUUCAUCAAGAAUGAACAACAAGUUGUGUGUUUUUAGUUAAGAAUUGGACAAUUAAAACAUUUUGUUGUGUUGUUUUUUCUGUCUUUAAUAAAAAUACUUUUUGAAAAUCUUAGUAGUUUGAAUUCAGUUGUGAUUGUUUAGUCAG